Protopterus annectens (West African lungfish) is the source of this 166-nucleotide small nuclear RNA. RefSeq annotates it as U1 spliceosomal RNA. The transcript has a single exon. Lineage: Eukaryota; Metazoa; Chordata; Ceratodontiformes; Protopteridae. The record is from RefSeq and is a predicted model, not a curated record.
CUUCUGACCUGGCAGGAGGAAUAUCAUGAUCACAAAACUGGUUUCCCCAGGGUGAGGCUCUUCCUUUGCACACUUCAAAUGGGUUGACCCUUGUGAUUUUCCCAAAUGUGGGAAACUCAACUGCAUAAUUUAUGGUAGUGGGGGACUGCAUUCACACAGUUCCCUG